AGCCAGACUCCUACGGGAGGCAGCAGUGGGGAAUAUUGCACAAUGGGGGAAACCCUGAUGCAGCGACGCCGCGUGAGCGAUGAAGUAUUUCGGUAUGUAAAGCUCUAUCAGCAGGGAAGAAAAUGACGGUACCUGACUAAGAAGCCCCGGCUAACUACGUGCCAGCAGCCGCGGUAAUACGUAGGGGGCAAGCGUUAUCCGGAUUUACUGGGUGUAAAGGGAGCGUAGACGGCAAUGCAAGCCAGAUGUGAAAGCCCGGGGCUCAACCCCGGGACUGCAUUUGGAACUGUGUAGCUGGAGUGUCGGAGAGGCAGGCGGAAUUCCUAGUGUAGCGGUGAAAUGCGUAGAUAUUAGGAGGAACACCAGUGGCGAAGGCGGCCUGCUGGACGAUGACUGACGUUGAGGCUCGAAAGCGUGGGGAGCAAACAGGAUUAGAUACCCGCGUA
This 446-nucleotide ribosomal RNA is filed under the name uncultured bacterium. RNAcentral's name for it is "bacterial SSU rRNA". It matches the Rfam family "Bacterial small subunit ribosomal RNA", at positions 329 to 792 of the family's 1533-position model. The record is from RNAcentral.